UCCAUUAGGUUGAGCGAUCUGAUCUGACAAAUGUUUUAAAUGCUACACUCAUGGUCUUAUUAUCCAUCAACUUUGUCUUGCUCACUAUGCUUAAGGUUAGAGAAGAACAAAUACACUUUUGGUUCUGUUGGUGUUUUCCACCAACAGGGCCCAUGCACUUGAUCUCUGCCUUGUCUCUAUGAGCAGGUACACUUCGAGCAUCACAUGAAGGAGUAUUAGAACUCCCAGACUCACCCAAGUGAAGAACCUAGGUCUACGAGCACAAACACACUGGAGAUACUGGACACUUAGGCAAUCACUGCCCUGGGAUGCUUAAGGACGUAACUACUGGAGUAACCCCGUUGUGAAAGUAAUUACUGACCUUCUGCC
RNAcentral lists this long non-coding RNA (369 nucleotides) under Sorghum bicolor (sorghum). RNAcentral describes it as "long non-coding RNA (SBIC_LNC005503)". The record is from RNAcentral. Lineage: Eukaryota; Viridiplantae; Streptophyta; Magnoliopsida; Poales; Poaceae.